AGUGGGAUAGCUGGGUCAAAUGCUGAUUUUCCUAGGAAUCUCCAUACUACUUUCCAGAUUGGCUGCCCAAUUUGCAGUCCCACCAGCAAU
RNAcentral lists this microRNA precursor (90 nucleotides) under Marmota monax (woodchuck). The record is from RNAcentral. Lineage: Eukaryota; Metazoa; Chordata; Mammalia; Rodentia; Sciuridae.